CCUAAUACAUGCAAGUAGAACGCUGAAGCUUGGUGCUUGCACCGAGCGGAUGAGUUGCGAACGGGUGAGUAACGCGUAGGUAACCUGCCUCUUAGCGGGGGAUAACUAUUGGAAACGAUAGCUAAUACCGCAUAAAAGUCGACAUUGCAUGAUGUUGACUUGAAAGGUGCAAUUGCAUCACUAAGAGAUGGACCUGCGUUGUAUUAGCUAGUUGGUGAGGUAACGGCUCACCAAGGCAACGAUACAUAGCCGACCUGAGAGGGUGAUCGGCCACACUGGGACUGAGACACGGCCCAGACUCCUACGGGAGGCAGCAGUAGGGAAUCUUCGGCAAUGGGGGCAACCCUGACCGAGCAACGCCGCGUGAGUGAAGAAGGUUUUCGGAUCGUAAAGCUCUGUUGUAAGAGAAGAACGAGUGUGAGAGUGGAAAGUUCACACUGUGACGGUAACUUACCAGAAAGGGACGGCUAACUACGUGCCAGCAGCCGCGGUAAUACGUAGGUCCCGAGCGUUAUCCGGAUUUAUUGGGCGUAAAGCGAGCGCAGGCGGUUAGAUAAGUCUGAAGUUAAAGGCUGUGGCUUAACCAUAGUACGCUUUGGAAACUGUUUAACUUGAGUGCAGAAGGGGAGAGUGGAAUUCCAUGUGUAGCGGUGAAAUGCGUAGAUAUAUGGAGGAACACCGGUGGCGAAAGCGGCUCUCUGGUCUGUAACUGACGCUGAGGCUCGAAAGCGUGGGGAGCGAACAGG
This 746-nucleotide ribosomal RNA is filed under the name uncultured Bacilli bacterium. Its description in RNAcentral is "bacterial SSU rRNA". It matches the Rfam family "Bacterial small subunit ribosomal RNA", at positions 47 to 776 of the family's 1533-position model. The record is from RNAcentral. Lineage: Bacteria; Bacillati; Bacillota; Bacilli.